AUUAUCAGGAGCCCUGCAGA
This 20-nucleotide non-coding RNA is filed under the name Rattus norvegicus (Norway rat). The record is from RNAcentral. Lineage: Eukaryota; Metazoa; Chordata; Mammalia; Rodentia; Muridae.